CAGUCGCCGCGGGAAUACAGAGGGUGCGAGCGUUAAUCGGAUUUACUGGGCGUAAAGCGUGCGUAGGCGGCUUUUUAAGUCGGAUGUGAAAUCCCUGAGCUUAACUUAGGAAUUGCAUUCGAUACUGGGAAGCUAGAGUAUGGGAGAGGAUGGUAGAAUUCCAGGUGUAGCGGUGAAAUGCGUAGAGAUCUGGAGGAAUACCGAUGGCGAAGGCAGCCAUCUGGCCUAAUACUGACGCUGAGGUACGAAAGCAUGGGGAGCAAACAGGAUUAGAUACCCCCUAGUCCCUGUCUCUUAUACC
This 301-nucleotide ribosomal RNA is filed under the name uncultured bacterium. Its description in RNAcentral is "partial 16S ribosomal RNA". It matches the Rfam family "Bacterial small subunit ribosomal RNA", at positions 509 to 808 of the family's 1533-position model. The record is from RNAcentral.